GCCUCUGUGCGCUAAUGGCAAAGCGGUUUCGCUUAAAACGAAAUGACUGGGAGUUCGAAUCUCCUCAGAGGUAC
RNAcentral lists this transfer RNA (74 nucleotides) under Gordonia phage Sixama. Its description in RNAcentral is "tRNA-Leu". It matches the Rfam family "tRNA". From Rfam's summary of the family: Transfer RNA (tRNA) molecules are approximately 80 nucleotides in length. The record is from RNAcentral. Lineage: Duplodnaviria; Heunggongvirae; Uroviricota; Caudoviricetes.